UAUUCUAUCAAUCUCCUAGUUUCCGGGAAUAACAUCGCUAUAAAUACCGUUUGUUUUGUUGAUAGCUUUGAAACCAAGUUCUCCGUAUCGUUUUGUGUAAGCCUUCAUGGUUUGCCCAGGUACCAGUAAGAGAUGAGAGCGAGAAAUUCUUUAGUGUGCAAGUCACAGAGAGGUUACAGUUUGCCAGUGAUGCCACAAAGUUUGCCAAAUCAAUAGGUUUCCCUGGUGAAACAAGCAAAGUUUUACAAUGAGAUUGAGAGUCAUACCACACCUUCAGUGAAAAGCUUGAUCAAUGAUUUCAUAUGAUUCAGUUAUUUACUAUGCAAACUUGAAAUUAAUAUCGAUUUCUUAAAAGCUUUGGAGUCCCUAUUUUCAUGUUAAGAUGUAAACAUUUUAUCUUUUAUUCAAAGUAUCAGUCGUAGCUAUGAGCUGCAAUUACGCUCACAAAGUCAAAGCAUUUUUUUGUACUGUAAGUUAAUCGUGCUCUGGGACUCAGUACACGGAAAAUGUUCUAUAUCAUCACUUUCCCAUAAGUUAGCUUGAUAAAAAUGAAAGCUCAGUCUCCAAAUGUAGGUUGUC
Stylophora pistillata is the source of this 579-nucleotide long non-coding RNA. RefSeq lists it as uncharacterized. The record is from RefSeq and is a predicted model, not a curated record. NCBI's taxonomy places the organism in Eukaryota, Metazoa, Cnidaria, Anthozoa, Scleractinia, Pocilloporidae.